Long non-coding RNA from Vidua chalybeata, 789 nucleotides. RefSeq lists it as uncharacterized. The transcript has 3 exons. NCBI's taxonomy places the organism in Eukaryota, Metazoa, Chordata, Aves, Passeriformes, Viduidae. The record is from RefSeq and is a predicted model, not a curated record.
UUCCAGAACAUCAACUUGAGGAAAUUCAAUGACCUGACAAGUCUGCAGCCUUAGUCUCCAGCUGAAUCCAGUUUUUGAUUAAAUGGAUUGUGUGAGCUACAUCUGCAUUGCGUGAAUGAGAAAUUAGCACCUUACCUGGAGCACUGCAAGCCCCACACCUGCAGGCUGUGCCUGGAGCCCCAUUGGAAGGGUGGCAAUGCCAGCUGCUCCUGCAGGAAAGGAAAUCACCCUCCAGUCUCUGACAGCUCAGUGGUGUUGGCCAACAGCCCCCAAAACACUGCUACAAGCAAAUUUUUAUGUACCAAAGGGUUUCCCACAUUUGGUGAGACAUGGACUUGACAAGAUGAUGAGCAAGUGGAUGGAAGCUGUCUGGACACUUCAGAGGUUGUGAUCAGUGGCACAGAGUCGUGGCUGAUCACUGGUGUCAGCUCCCAGAGGGGGAUACUGAUGCCAAUUCCAUGUGAAGUCUCCAUCAUCAGCUGGAAUGGUGGGCUAGAGACACACUCACAGAAAAUUCACUGUAUGAAUCCAUGGUGGGGGAUAAAUUUGGUGUGCUGGAGAGGGCAGGCUGAUAUUCAGAGGAGAAGAGGGAUGGACUGCAGGCCAUCAGCACAUCAGGGAAGUGCCAGAUCCAGUCCCUGGGCUGGGGUCACCCUGCAGGAGCAUCAUCUGGGCAGAGAAACACCUUUGGAGAGCAGGACACAGGGGCUCUGGGUGUAGCAGGCUUAUUUGAUUCUUCAGAAUUCCCACUCCACUGUUAACCUUUUCAAACUCAAGCAUAGUAAUAAU